RNAcentral lists this long non-coding RNA (843 nucleotides) under Phoenix dactylifera (date palm). RNAcentral's name for it is "long non-coding RNA (PDAC_LNC017690)". The record is from RNAcentral. Lineage: Eukaryota; Viridiplantae; Streptophyta; Magnoliopsida; Arecales; Arecaceae.
CCUAGAUUUGAGGGAUUGAGAUGUUUGGGGACCUGGUGAUGGACCCCAUAGUAGAUGUGAAUUAUGGUUUAGAAUAUUUAAAUAUUAAAUAAUUUAGUUUGUGAAUUAUAAUUGAUGUUGUAGGGGAAGAGUCAGCGGUGCCAGGAGAGUUUGAUCAGGGGACUCAGCACCCCAGCGCGUAGGUUGUGAUUCGGAUCUGUGCUUGAGUCAGUCUACAAUUUCUGUAAAGUUACAUGAUGCAUUGAUUUGGACAGGAUGGGCGCAGAGUGCGAGUACCCGAGUCAUUAGUUAGUUGGUUUGUUUAUCUUUCUUUGAUGUUGAUGAACAUUUGAAGAUCUUGUAAUUGAACUAAUUUGUUUAUUUGGACAUGUUGGACUUGUCUAUUUGAAUUACUAAAUUAAUUAUGGAUUUAUUGGAAUUUUUGAUAAUCAUAGGCCUUGCAUGAUCUCUAGGGCACUGCUCUAGGGCUCAUGCGGCCGGUCGCGUUCCGGACCCAGGUGCUGGGUUCGGGGCGUGACAGAGUGGUAUCAGAGCUUAAGGUUAAGGUAUCCUAGGGUUUAUGUUCAGGUGAGUAUAAGUGGAGAAUUAUGAUAGAAAAACUAUCAGAGAUUUGGUUUAUAAUCACUUGAGAUUGUAACAAAAAUGAUAUUAUAAUCUAUGGUUUAAGACCACUAGGGACUGUGGCCUUAGUGGCAUUAAAGUUUGAGGUUUAAGAUUAUUGGAAAAUGUGACCAGUUGGAAUCUGAGCAUAUGUUUAAGAUCACUAGGGAUCGUGACAGAAAUAUAUCAUAGCUUAAGGUUAUGAUCACUUAGAACAUGACAAUUAGAUUCAGUGCUUAAGCC